RNAcentral lists this long non-coding RNA (284 nucleotides) under Zostera marina. RNAcentral's name for it is "long non-coding RNA (ZMAR_LNC004690)". Lineage: Eukaryota; Viridiplantae; Streptophyta; Magnoliopsida; Alismatales; Zosteraceae. The record is from RNAcentral.
AAACUACAUAAAGGAAAAAUACUUUGACCCAUUUGUUGAUGAUGAAUCAACUGAUAGGAUGUAUGCUAGUCUUCCUCCAUACAUUGAUCGAUUCACUUUCGAAAAGUGUGUGGAAGAAUUAUGGACUACAGAAGAAUUUAAGGUAUUGUUUUACAUACAUCCAUACUUCAAUAAUUUACUAUUUUAUAUUGUAAGUUGUUUAACAUUAUAUAUGAAUUCGCAGAGAAAAUCAAAAAUAAACAAAACAAACCGGAGUAAGAAGAUACUAAACCAUAAAACAGGGU